RNAcentral lists this transfer RNA (72 nucleotides) under Nanobdellota archaeon. Its description in RNAcentral is "tRNA-Ala". It matches the Rfam family "tRNA". Rfam says of the family: Transfer RNA (tRNA) molecules are approximately 80 nucleotides in length. Lineage: Archaea; Nanobdellati; Nanobdellota. The record is from RNAcentral.
GGGCUUGUAGCUCAGCAGUAGAGCGCAACGUUCGCAACGUUGAGGCCGCGGGUGCGACUCCCGUCAAGUCCA